GGGUUGUUAGCUAAGUGGUACAGCAGCCGUCUCUUAAACGGAAGAGCGUAGGUUCGAUCCCUACACAACCCA
Transfer RNA from Leptolyngbya sp. Heron Island J, 72 nucleotides. It matches the Rfam family "tRNA". From Rfam's summary of the family: Transfer RNA (tRNA) molecules are approximately 80 nucleotides in length. Lineage: Bacteria; Bacillati; Cyanobacteriota; Cyanophyceae; Leptolyngbyales; Leptolyngbyaceae. The record is from Rfam.